Long non-coding RNA from Lagenorhynchus albirostris (white-beaked dolphin), 284 nucleotides. RefSeq lists it as uncharacterized. Lineage: Eukaryota; Metazoa; Chordata; Mammalia; Artiodactyla; Delphinidae. The record is from RefSeq and is a predicted model, not a curated record. The transcript is spliced from 3 exons.
CAAAAGCCUCCUUCAAUCACUGAGGAAAACCGCAGAAUAAUAAUUGAGAAUGCGGCGUGGCCAACGCUUUGAUGGCAGCCUGUGAGACCCUGAGUGGAGGACCCAGAAAAACUGUGCCUGGAUUCCUGAUCCACAAAAACCAUUGUUAGGACAUCAUCAGCAAGGCCAAGUACUUGUGGAAGGAAGGGGAUUCGGCACACCGUUGUGGCUGGAGGAGCUCCUGAAACUAUCAGAGCUGUGGAGGACCCUGUGGGUCACAAGCCGGUCAAAAUCCACGGGAAAGU